UAGUAUUCAAUUGUCAGAGGUGAAAUUCUUGGAUUUAUUGAAGACUAACUACUGCGAAAGCAUUUGCCAAGGAUGUUUUCAUUAAUCAAGAACGAAAGUUAGGGAUCGAAGACGAUCAGAUACCGUCGUAGUCUUAACCAUAAACUAUGCCGACUAGGGAUCGGAUGAUGUUAAUUUUUUAAUGACUCA
This 189-nucleotide ribosomal RNA is filed under the name uncultured Glomeromycotina. RNAcentral's name for it is "partial 18S ribosomal RNA". It matches the Rfam family "Eukaryotic small subunit ribosomal RNA", at positions 892 to 1078 of the family's 1831-position model. The record is from RNAcentral. Lineage: Eukaryota; Fungi; Glomeromycota.